UCGAUUUUCUGUCUUCCGUGUUACUGUUUACUAAGUUAAGCCAUUAACAUGCCAUGAUGAGGAGAAGGCACAACGUUCUCUCCUGCGCAUGACGUGAGUUGUUGAUGUCGCUUCUACAACUGCCAUUUGCCAUUGAUAAUUGUUCUUUGCUUCCUUUGGGAGAGUAAGAGGGAAAGACCACCAUCUGAGAAAA
Manis javanica (Malayan pangolin) is the source of this 193-nucleotide non-coding RNA. The record is from RefSeq and is a predicted model, not a curated record. NCBI's taxonomy places the organism in Eukaryota, Metazoa, Chordata, Mammalia, Pholidota, Manidae.